Molecule: ribosomal RNA, 253 nt
Filed under: uncultured bacterium
Lineage: Bacteria
Description: partial 16S ribosomal RNA
Rfam family: Bacterial small subunit ribosomal RNA
Source: RNAcentral
UACGUAGGGGGCUAGCGUUGUCCGGAUUUAUUGGGCGUAAAGGGCGCGUAGGCGGCCAUCUAAGUCAGACGUGAAAUCCCUCGGCUCAACCGAGGAACUGCGUCUGAUACUGGAAGGCUUGAAUCCGGGAGAGGGAUGUGGAAUUCCAGGUGUAGCGGUGAAAUGCGUAGAUAUCUGGAGGAACACCGGUGGCGAAGGCGGCAUCCUGGACCGGUAUUGACGCUGAGGCGCGAAAGCUAGGGGAGCAAACGGG